RNAcentral lists this ribosomal RNA (498 nucleotides) under uncultured bacterium. RNAcentral describes it as "partial 16S ribosomal RNA". It matches the Rfam family "Bacterial small subunit ribosomal RNA", at positions 30 to 523 of the family's 1533-position model. The record is from RNAcentral.
AUUGAACGCUGGCGGCAUGCCUUACACAUGCAAGUCGAACGGUAACAGGUCUUCGGAUGCUGACGAGUGGCGAACGGGUGAGUAAUACAUCGGAACGUGCCUAGUAGUGGGGGAUAACUACUCGAAAGAGUGGCUAAUACCGCAUGAGAUCUACGGAUGAAAGCAGGGGAUCGCAAGACCUUGUGCUACUAGAGCGGCCGAUGGCAGAUUAGGUAGUUGGUGGGAUAAAAGCUUACCAAGCCGACGAUCUGUAGCUGGUCUGAGAGGACGAUCAGCCACACUGGGACUGAGACACGGCCCAGACUCCUACGGGAGGCAGCAGUGGGGAAUUUUGGACAGUGGGCGAAAGCCUGAUCCAGCAAUGCCGCGUGCAGGAUGAAGGCCUUCGGGUUGUAAACUGCUUUUGUACGGAACGAAAAGCCCUGGGUUAAUACCCUGGGGUCAUGACGGUACCGUAAGAAUAAGCACCGGCUAACUACGCGCCAGCCGCCGCGGUAA